RNAcentral lists this ribosomal RNA (253 nucleotides) under uncultured bacterium. RNAcentral's name for it is "partial 16S ribosomal RNA". It matches the Rfam family "Bacterial small subunit ribosomal RNA", at positions 524 to 776 of the family's 1533-position model. The record is from RNAcentral.
UACGGAGGGUGCAAGCGUUGCUCGGAAUUAUUGGGCGUAAAGCGCACGCAGGCGGCAAGGUAAGUCAGUUGUGAAAUCCCCGGGCUUAACCCGGGAACAGCAUUUGAUACUGCCAUGCUAGAGUACGGAAGAGGGGAGCGGAAUUCCCAGUGUAGAGGUGAAAUUCGUAGAUAUUGGGAGGAACACCGGUGGCGAAAGCGGCUCCCUGGUCCGAUACUGACGCUCAUGUGCGAAAGCGUGGGGAGCAAACAGG